This 2992-nucleotide long non-coding RNA is filed under the name Nicotiana benthamiana. Its description in RNAcentral is "long non-coding RNA (NBEN_LNC041016)". Lineage: Eukaryota; Viridiplantae; Streptophyta; Magnoliopsida; Solanales; Solanaceae. The record is from RNAcentral.
UUGUAUUUAAAUCCUAAUUUGAAGUUCAAACUAAGAAUUUUUUAAUUGAAAGUGUGAGAGGGCUAGGCUAUUAAAUUUUGUUUUUGAAAAGGAGUUUGGGCUUGGGCGCUCAUCACUUGCUUAAAUCAGGAAAACUUUACCUUUGAAAAGCUGUAUUUGGGCUCAAGGUUUGUCUCAGUAGCAAAAAACUCAAAGGCUCUUGCCCUUGUUGGAAUCUUAAUCAAGUUUGCCCAUAUGGGCUAAUAUCAGGCGGGCCUAGCUACUACACAUUUUCUAGCUGGGCCUAUCCACCUUUACAAUUAUCCGAAUUUGCCCAUUCGCAGUAAUUAUAUUCAUUUUCUUGUUAAGUAAAUCACAAUAUUCAAAGAUCAAACAACAAUUCUAGUUAAUAAUUAAACGCGGAACUUAGCUAGACAUAGCAACAUAUUUUUAUACUAUAAUCUUCAAAGAAAAAUUCACAAUUAAAGUUACUCUACUGGGUUCAAUGCUUAGGCCCAUUUGCCUGGUCCAGAAUUGUUCAAAUGAGUCCCAUGUUGGGCCUUGUUGUAAGUCUGGCCCAAUUCAUGCCAUAUCCCGAACCAUUAUACAAUAAUAACAUUUAUUACAAAGAGGUCCAACUGCUAUGACCUUAUACUAAUAAUUAAAUAAAAUUUAAAUUUAAAAAUCAUUGUAACAGUCCAUUUUAUCUAUUGAAUAUCUCUGAAUUCACAAACAUGACCCUAAGUGUAAGUAACAUCUAAAAGAAAAGGAUAUAUUUUAAGUAAACAAAACAGAAAAUUCCUCCUAGCUUCAGGUUUUUUCCCUUCCAUUAGAUCCUCCAAACCAAGGUGUAAACUUGCAAGAAAUCAGAUAUAGAGCUGUUUCUCACAAGUCGACAUUUCAAACUCCAACCUUGAGGUUGUUUGGCUUUGUGGCCACUCACAUGCAAAACAACAAAAAUGAAAUCAUACUUCAGCAUUUACAUGGUUCCUAUUGGCUACUACAUCCCUAUUUUCAAAAUAACAAAACAAAGAAAAGCAGAUGACUAUUUAGCAUGCUCAACCUUCACAUUUUAGUCUAAUGUUUAACAAUUUUUUAAAGUUCGAGCAUGUAGAAAGAGAUGAGGUCACAAAUGAUUAUCAAUCCACACAAUGGGAGUCAUGCUGAUUUUUAGCAGUAAAUCUAAUUAUAUCUAUGAAAAUCAAUCAAAAACCACAUAAAACCUAUUUAUUAAACAAACUCAAUAUUUAGCAUUCCAUUUCAGAAAAGGAAAGAAUAAUACAUAAGGAAGGAACUGAAGGCAACAAUCAGAAAACAACAAAUAUAAUAUGAAAGGAAAAACUGGUUGAAAACUUCAGAAGAAAGGGAGCAACAAUUUUACUCAAAAAUUUAAACCAAAUCAAACUAGCUUUGAAACCAGAAAUUCCAGUUAAAGAAACCAAGAAAAUCCUCCACUUAAAACCAUGUUUCUUAGCUUGUGAAAGCAAGAAUAAGCUAUUUUGAAUGUUUUUUAAGAAAAUCAAAAGCAAAAGAAAUCAGCUUAACAAAAGGGAAGCAGCUAAACCUGAGAGACUAUUUUCUAGAGUUUUUAAAAUCUGAUGUUUUUUAGAAAAAACUUUUUGUGCAGAGAAUGGUGAUGAAUAUUUUUUAUUUUAUAGAGUGCAAAAAAAAGUAUAAAAAGGAAUAUUCUAACCUAAAAUUCUGAAAUUAAAAUAGCAUAAUAUUUUUUUACAACUGCAUGUCCUUUUCCCAACCACUUUCAACAUCUUUUGUUAAAAAUGGGGACAAUUGUCCAAAGACCUAGAACUUUCUGAUAUUAACAUGUAUAGAAACCCAAUUUUACCCUUACUUUUGCUAAUAAUUCAGUUUAAACCAAUUCAAACUUAAUAUUCAGAUUGUUUGAUUUACACAUUAGCCCCUUGUAGAACCUUCAAGGCAGUUCUAGACUUGGAAACCCUCCCCCGAUUUAGUUUUCAAUUGACCCUCUUUGUUAUUACUUUUUCAAUUCUUAAAUUAUUUAAAGCUUAAAAUCAAACUAACCUAAACUAAAACAAAACAGACUAACUAAACAAAAAUCCUAAUUGAACCUGAGCUAAUGACUGAAUCAUGGCAAUUAGUUAAUUGAAAAUGAACCUGAAUUCCACAACAACAAAUAAAAUAAAACAAAAAAUAACGGGAAAACAACAAUUAAAAACAGAAGCAGUAAUCCAACGAAUUUUAAUGACUAAAUGAAUUUACCUAAAUCUGAUUAAAUUAACAUUUCAUGCAAUUAAACUAAUUAAAAAGUAAUUAGACUAAUUAAUUUAUUAUUUCAAACAAAACAGUCUUGGAAGGCGUUUAAAGCUAACCCUAAUCAUUAAAAUUUUAACUAAGCAUUGAUUAGCCAAAUGACCUCAAUUAAAAACAAUGGGUGAGCACAUGCUAGUCAGAAAGAGGGAGAAAGAAAACACAGAAGAAAAUAAAAUAAAAGGGAUAACAAGGAUACCUAACACAAUCAACAUGGACGACUGACUUGAAAGGACUCCGGUGAAGUAAAAAAUCUUCGAAAUAGACCAAAAAUAAUGCUAAUCAAUUUUUCUCGCUGAGAACAAUCAAUUAGCAUAGGUUUCGAUCAAAUCGAGUCUCCAAAGCUUCAGAAAAAUCAAAUAGAUGACGUGCUAGGGUUUUCUGUUUGUUGUUCCAGAUACGGAUUUAGGGGAAUUUGAUGGGGUUUCAAGUCAGAUUGAUGGUGGAACGAUGAAGAAGGUGAGGCGAGGAGUAUGGGGUAAUGAUUUGGUUAGUAAGUUGACUUCUCAGAUCUGAAAUUUGGAGAUAUCUGAGGUGUUUUAAAGGAAUCCACCAAGGGAUAUGAAAUAAGGGGGAGAUGAAGAUCACGGGGUGAAGUUUUGAGGUGAUUUAGAGGUGGUCCUCCACCAUAAGGCGAUUUCCGGUCGGCGGAGCACGGCGGAGACAUCAUGGGUUAUAAGGGCGGCUAGGGUAUUAUUUUGAGAGAGUUUGGAGACGGAAACGAAAG